AACGGCCAUACCAUACUGAAUAUGCGCCGGUUCUCGUGCUAGAUCAUCGAACUCAAGCAUCAUUGGGCGCGGUCAGUACUUGGGUGGGGGACCGUCUUGGGAACCCC
Molecule: ribosomal RNA, 107 nt
Filed under: Caerostris darwini
Lineage: Eukaryota; Metazoa; Arthropoda; Arachnida; Araneae; Araneidae
Source: RNAcentral